GACAGAGGUGCCAAGCGUUAGGCGGAAUCACUGGGCUUAAAGCGUGUGUAGGCGGAUCGUUAAGUACCUUGUGAAAUCCCACGGCUCAACCGUGGAACUGCUGGGUAUACUGGCGGUCUUGAGCCACCUAGGGGCAACUGGAACAAGCGGUGGAGCGGUGAAAUGCGUAGAUAUGCGGAGGAACACCGAUGGCGAAGGCAAUCCCCUGGGCCUGCACUGACGCUCAUGCACGAAAGCGUGGGGAGCAAACAGG
Molecule: ribosomal RNA, 253 nt
Filed under: uncultured bacterium
Lineage: Bacteria
Description: partial 16S ribosomal RNA
Rfam family: Bacterial small subunit ribosomal RNA
Source: RNAcentral